Long non-coding RNA from Triticum aestivum (bread wheat), 3258 nucleotides. RefSeq lists it as uncharacterized. NCBI's taxonomy places the organism in Eukaryota, Viridiplantae, Streptophyta, Magnoliopsida, Poales, Poaceae. The record is from RefSeq and is a predicted model, not a curated record. The transcript is spliced from 10 exons.
CGUCCUCGCUGCCCCGCCCGCAUCGCCCCGCCCUCUCCUCUCCCUCUCCUCUCCCUCUUCCUCCCUCAGUCCUCGCCGCCCCGCCCGCAUCACCGCCGCCCCGCCCCUCAGACCACGCCACAGUGGACCUCUCUCCUCGUCUCCCUCGUGCCACGCCGCCCGCAACCUCCCCCCUCCCAUCAUCAGAAUGGAAGGGAAGAGAAGACGGAGCGCGAGCAGGUUCGUCGGCGGCCAAGGCGCUCGCAGAUCCGCCGACGCCGUCGUCUGACCCCGGCUUCCGAGUGUGCUCACACCAUGGACUCCUCGAGACGCCGCCCUCCCUCCUACUCCAACCCUAACCCUAACCCUAGCAUUGCUGCUGCUGGUCAAGGUGCUCGCACGCGUCCAGCAGCGAACCCUAGCCUCGAACGACAGCAGCGGCCAUCACUUCUAUCCUAGGAAACAACAUGAAGAGAUUUAAUGAAGAGACAUCCCAGGAUUCUGCGGAGAUGAUGAAAGGUUUUGUAGAAGUCAGGAGAGUUUCACUUCAUGUAGCUACUAGACCAGGAGAAUUGUAUGCUUGCGCUGAGGAAAAUGUUAUGCUGACCGUGGCCAAGUGCCCUGAACUCACCUAUGCCCGGUAAUCUUGGUGUGAGCUCAAGGUAAAAGGCAAAGCCUGAAGGUAGGCAAUCAUCAUCAGCUAGAACUGGAAACAUCAAAAUUGGUGCCCCGGUCAUCUCCGCCCCUGGUGGUGCUCCUGGAUGUACAUAACCUCCUCGCCUCCUUGGCCGCUUCGGUGCCCGUGUCGUUCGUGCUCGUCGGUGGGACGGUGCAAGGCACAACUCCGAUGCGACGACGCGGAUGUGCGGUGUAGGAAGCGGUUCCUCAUCGGAUGGACGGCGUUCAGGCGCAACCCCAGCGCCCACUGAGUACUGCCUCAGCUACAACCUCCCUCGAGACAAGAAUGUAGGGGGGCUACGGGCGCUCUCAGCGAUUUGGAACAUCUGGCCGUCCAUUUCGUUGGCUUGAUGAGAUCUGGGCCAUUGGAUCGAGGCGCUGGAGGACCUCGGCCGUCGGAUCGAACCCGAGCUCCUGUAGCAACGAGUAGUUACUCCCGCGGUGAAAUAUCUCGUGCCACCGCCUGUAAUUCAUGUGCCUCACCGGUCGGAUGCCAUUCUUGCUAGGGCGAUGAUGAUUAGCCGUGGCUGAAAUAGGUGUGCCUUGGAGCAAUCAAGGGACCUGUGGGUAUCAAGGUGGAUCAUCCCUCUUGUCUCUAGAAUUCUUUUUGAUCCUGUGAUACUUAUUGUUCUGUCCUUGGAUCGUCAUUCUUGUUGAGUGAUAACCAGGGCCGCUCCACUAUAUAAACAGAUUAAUCUGGUGACAAGAGAUGGCGGGGGUAGAUUAUAUGAUCGAGGAAAGGCAAAUCCGAGCCCACUAUGCAUUGAGCUCUAAACCCUUUUUAUUUGUAUUUAAAGGUGUUGUUUAUUUAUGCUCCAGUGUUUAUAGCCGUAUUAUGUGAAUAUUUCUUCUCUCUCAUACCUUUAUUGCAUAUAAGUUGUUCUUGACUUUUACUAUUUGUUGUUGGUCAUUGAUUUCAUCUGGUUAAGAGUAAGCAAGUUGUCGGUUCAAUGGCUUGUUUUAAUUUGUUGAUAAACCAGCAGAAACCACGGUGUCAUGUUUCUAAUAACAGCGUCUUUAGGCUGGUUAAUGUUUGUAUUGGAGCCCACUAUCUUUUAUUUUGCUUGUUUCUUACCAUCUUCCUUUGUUCUCUGGCCGUUUCAUGGUUGGGACGAUGGCGUGGCGUUGGGGCUGUCUUGCGGGUUGGCCAGAGAGGGAGCACACCGAGUGGGCUUCUAAGAUGACUGAGGGAUUUGUCUAGGGUUUCCUGGUUAAUCCAUUCUGAUUUUGGUCUGCUCAUGCUCUUGGCUUCUGGACUGUGGUGCUCAAGGUGGUCUGGCUGUCGCCGCCGCCCCUGCUCGACGAUGCUGCACCCCUGCUUGAUCACUUUAUAAAAAAUAGCGUAUGCAUAAGUGAAAACGAGUCAAACAGAUGAUCAGUGCCUUAGUCCUUCAGUACUUGAGGUAUGUGUUGACUGGAUUAAUGCUGUUAUGUUUUUAGUGGCCAAUAUUUCAGACGAGUGUAUAAACCCAUAGUUGACCAUGGUCCGCAUAUGAGUUUAAUUGUUGUCUAGAUAAUUAGUAGCAUGAUUUUAUAAAGCUCCAGUUCCAUGGUUCUGAGCACUUGUGUUUAAUUGGAAUCACUUGUUAUUAUAGAACUAUGUUGUUGACUAUAGUUCCAUGUAGCUUGAGUAUUUAUCUGUACUUUAAGUCUACAAGUGUUUUCUUAAGUAUACCAGAACCACCUGACCGAGAAUAAUUAAUUUCGUAACUAUUAAGUAAACUGAAUUGAGCAUUUCUUAGAUUUUUUGGUUCAGAGCUUUUAUUAUCUCUUUGAUAAUAUGUUGGAGUUUACUUUUCCUGUGGCAUACAUUUAGUUUGGAAGUUAUUUGCAUGUAUACUGGUAUGCGGUUGUCUACGUGCCCCCUUACAGCUGAUUAUUAUCUAUAAGUGGUGAAAAUUAUUUUCCUGAGUUUAAUUGUAUGUAUGAAGCCGCUUGGUGGAAAGACUUCCUAUUGUAUCUUGAUAUGUGAAUUGAAUGAUGUGGUUAUAUUAACAUCGCAAUUUGUUUUGUUGUCUACUUCUUUAUUUCCCUUUGGAUGGGCGCUCAUGUCGGCAUGGGGCACAGCGGCCGUUGAGGGAGCCGAGCCGGCCGAUGUGGAGGUUGCCGAGCGGUGGUGCUCGCGUGAAGGAGGAAUAUGAUGAUGCCUGGAGUGGCGUGGGGUACCAACCAUCUCCAUCGAGUGGCAGUUCUCGCGUGAAGGAUGAGUUCGUGGUAGUAGCACUCUCUCGGCUGUGGAUGCACGUUCAACUGGCCAGUCAAGGAGCUCCAACAAGCAGGACACCCAGCGAGUGUUUAGGAUCCCACACACGGCAGCUCUUGGCAUGCUACUGGCACACCUUGGACUAUCACCGGCUCAGUAUGAACGCGUUGUUCAUGAGGACGGCAAGACCCAUGUUGUAAAUUGUCUGUAAGCGACGUGUUGUCGUAUCUUCUAUGCCUAAAACGUCUGUAAGAGACUUCUUGUCGUAUCUUCUAUGCCUAAACGUCUAUGUUAUGCCUAAAACUUAAAUUAUCUAUGCGGAGUUAUAAAUUGUCUGUAAGCAACAUGUUGUCAUACCUUCUAUGCCUAAGAUAUUUGGUGCUAAACCUGUCGUGAAA